AGUGAACGCUGGCGGUAGGCCUAACACAUGCAAGUCGAACGGCAGCACAGUAAGAGCUUGCUCUUACGGGUGGCGAGUGGCGGACGGGAGAGGAAUACAUCGGAAUCUACUUUUUCGUGGGGGAUAACGUAGGGAAACUUACGCUAAUACAGCAUACGACCUACGGGGGAAAGCAGGGGAACUUCGGACCUUGCGCGAAUGAAUGAGCCGAUGUCGGAUUAGCUAGUUGGCGGGGUAAAGGCCCAGCUAGGCGACGAUCCGUAGCUGGUCUGAGAGGAUGGUCGGCCACACUGGAGCUGGGACACGGUCCAGGCUCCUACGGGAGGCAGCAGUGGGGUAUAUUGGGCAGUGGGCGGGAGCCUUAUCCAGCCAUACCGCGUGGGUGAAGAAGGCCUUCGGGUUGUGAAGCCCUUUUGUUGGUAAAGAACAGCAGCAGGUUAAUACCCCGCUGUUCUGACGGUACCCAGAGAAUAAGCACCGGCUAACUUCGUG
Molecule: ribosomal RNA, 492 nt
Filed under: uncultured bacterium
Lineage: Bacteria
Description: partial 16S ribosomal RNA
Rfam family: Bacterial small subunit ribosomal RNA
Source: RNAcentral